UCUGUUGUUGGAGAAGUACKGGUGUCAGAGUAACUGUUGACAUCGUGACGGUAUCCWACCAGAWAGCCACGGCUAACUACGUGCCAGCAGCCGCGGUAAUACGUAGGUGGCAAGCGUUGUCCGGAUUUAUUGGGCGUAAAGCGAGCGCAGGCGGUUUUUUAGGUYUGAUGUGAAAGCCUUCGGCUUAACCGGAGAAGUGCAUCGGAAACCGGGAGACUUGAGUGCAGAAGAGGACAGUGGAACUCCAUGUGUAGCGGUGAAAUGCGUAGAUAUAUGGAAGAACACCAGUGGCGAAGGCGGCUGUCUGGUCUGCAACUGACGCUGAGGCUCGAAAGCAUGGGUAGCGAACAGGAUUAGAUACCCUGGUAGUCCAUGCCGUAAACGAUGAGUGCUAAGUGUUGGAGGGUUUCCGCCCUUCAGUGCUGCAGCUAACGCAUUAAGCACUCCGC
RNAcentral lists this ribosomal RNA (449 nucleotides) under Lentilactobacillus hilgardii. RNAcentral describes it as "bacterial SSU rRNA". It matches the Rfam family "Bacterial small subunit ribosomal RNA", at positions 432 to 872 of the family's 1533-position model. Lineage: Bacteria; Bacillati; Bacillota; Bacilli; Lactobacillales; Lactobacillaceae. The record is from RNAcentral.